GAAGAGAAAAUGUUUGUUCCAAACUGAACCUUCUUCUUCUGGAUAUGUACUUUUGGAGGUAGAUCAAACAUGAAUUUAGUUCAGUCACCUUCUUCUUUCUUUUGAUACCCACUUCCACCUUGUUCUAUCAAGAUAUCCAGCUUGGCAGGACCUAUCAUGGCAAGAAAUAGUAGUGAAGGUGAAUCAUACACUCUCUUCAGGGCAGCUUUGGUGUUGAAUUUGGCCACUGAUGGCUUCAGAAGGCUCCAAUUGCAGUCCUUCAGGGAAAAUUUU
This 273-nucleotide long non-coding RNA is filed under the name Phaseolus vulgaris (common bean). RNAcentral describes it as "long non-coding RNA (PVUL_LNC003195)". The record is from RNAcentral. Lineage: Eukaryota; Viridiplantae; Streptophyta; Magnoliopsida; Fabales; Fabaceae.